This 580-nucleotide ribosomal RNA is filed under the name Chiltoniidae sp. FL1. RNAcentral describes it as "partial 28S ribosomal RNA". Lineage: Eukaryota; Metazoa; Arthropoda; Malacostraca; Amphipoda; Chiltoniidae. The record is from RNAcentral.
CUGCCCGAAAUGCUUGAGUACUGGCUAGCUGGGAUGUGGCUUUUGGGCCUUAGUGCCAUGUCACGGUGCCCCUUGCAGGCGGGCACGUUCAUGGGCGUGAGACAGUGUUUGUUUGUGUCGCGCUCCUCUGAUGUGUCCGUGCUGGGUGAACCUAUCGAAGCAUCACACGGUAAUUGUCCACCACAGCUCGUUGCUUGGUCACCCGCUGGGUCUAAACGUGCAGGAUGCUCAUCCAGUUUCCGGACUGUCAAUGUUGACGCGUGUAUGGGCGAUUUGGUACCGUACGGAGGGCUUUUCCGUACGCGUACGCGCUCGCGUCACGUCCGUGUUAUAUCCUGGCUCUGACUGCCGACUUGUAAACGUGGUGUGAUCCAUUCGGCGACAAAGCUGGAAUUGGCCAAACACAUACAACCCCAGCACUGCGGCCAUGUGUCGGUCGCAGUGUACCUGCGGGCAGGCUGCUUGCGUCGCAUGCUCGCAUAUACGCUCAGCCUGGGAGUUGGUCUGAUUGGUGAUGAUCUAGCGACCAUCGGUCACGUCUCGAAACACGGGCCAAGGAGUAUAGCAUGUGUGCAAGUCU